Molecule: long non-coding RNA, 1074 nt
Filed under: Felis catus (domestic cat)
Lineage: Eukaryota; Metazoa; Chordata; Mammalia; Carnivora; Felidae
Description: lncRNA (ENSFCAG00000050565.1)
Source: RNAcentral
GAAACCCAGGAGGCCCCUCCGGGCACCGGGGUCGCCCCCACACACCUCCGCAAGAGAUGUGAUGCUGUUUAUAGACUGACGCCCGGCCCCCGGUGGGGCGCACCCUCAGCAGAGAGCUCCCCCAGCCUUUUGCCGGAGGAUGUCUCUUUUGCGCACGUCACUCCCACCCAGCCCGGCGUAGACCCUUCUCAAACAGACGCCCGGCGGUUCACAAAACCCUCUCCCUCUUCCAGUAGGAAACCCCUGAGGGGGGAGGGGGUGGGCGCAGAAGGAGACGCACACGGCCCCGACCGUCUCUGCCUCACCCCCCACCCCCCAGGCUGCCAGCAUCUGGAGCCGCGUCCCCACGCCCGCCACGCGCGCAUACACGCACACACACAGACUCACGCUCGCACGGACACACUCACACCCGCGCGCAGACCCCGCCCGCGGCCCCGCCCCGGCCCCUGCGGGCGCCCCCUCCGGCGCGCGCGGACCCGGCACGCAGCCCGCCCCGGCCGGCGGGAGGCGGCGGCUUCGGGCAGAUUUGAUUUUCCCGCAGCCCGGGCGCCCCGGAGCCCCAGCCGGAGCCGAGGAGGUGGCGCGCGCAGCCGGGUCCCCGGCCCCGCUGCCGCCCGCGCCGAGACCCAGCGAGGGGCGGCGCAGCCCGGGCGCUCCCGGCGUCCGGCCACCCCCGCGCCCGAGCCGGCCCCCCACGCCCCUCUCCCUCUCCCUCACCCCUUCUGUUCCCCACCCGAAGCCGCACGCUCCUCUCCCCAAACCCCUCUCCACGACUCCGCGCGUGCCUCCCGGUGCCCUCUCCCCGCGCCCCUCCGCCUCUCUCCGCUGCACCCCAGCUCCCUGGGCACCUCGCCCCUCUCCGCUGCCCCCGCCCCGGCCUCCUCGUCGCGUCACCUGCACCCCCUCCUCUACCCGCGGCCCCCGCUCCCUCCGCCCCCCUUCCCUCUCUCACUUCCCACGCCCCCUCUUCGCGCUCCUCUCUCCUCCCUUUGCCGCCCAGCGCCGGCUCCGGAGUUGGGGGAGAGCCCAGGGUUUCAGUCGCUUUGGAGGAGGCGUGAAUCGCGCAGGGAUUGA